CUUGGUCAUUUAGAGGAAGUAAAAGUCGUAACAAGGUUUCCGUAGGUGAACCUGCGGAAGGAUCAUUAUUGAAAUAAACCUGAUGGGUUGUUGCUGGCUCUCUAGGGAGCAUGUGCACACCUUGUCAUCUUUAUAUCUCCACCUGUGCACCUUUUAUAGACAUCUUUCCAGGUGUCUAUGUUGAUUCUUCAUUUACCCCAAUGUAUGUCAAUAGAAUGUUGUGUCCAUAAUAUAUACAACUUUCAGCAACGGAUCUCUUGGCUCUCGCAUCGAUGAAGAACGCAGCGAAAUGCGAUAAGUAAUGUGAAUUGCAGAAUUCAGUGAAUCAUCGAAUCUUUGAACGCACAUUGCGCCCCUUGGUAUUCCGAGGGGCAUGCCCGUUCGAGCGUCAUCAACACCAUCAAGCCUGGCUUGGUAUUGGGCCUUGCCUGUAACACGGCCGGCUUUAAAAUCAGUGGCGGUGCCGCCUGGCUCUAAGCGUAGUAACUUUUCUCGCUAUUGUGCCCGGCGGUUGCUUGCCAACAACCCCUAAUUUAAUAGAUUUGACCUCGGAUCGGGUAGGGAUACCCGCUGAACUUAAGCAUAUCAAUAAGCGGAGGA
RNAcentral lists this ribosomal RNA (600 nucleotides) under uncultured Cortinariaceae. RNAcentral describes it as "eukaryotic LSU rRNA". The stretch from base 238 to 391 matches the Rfam family "5.8S ribosomal RNA". The record is from RNAcentral. Lineage: Eukaryota; Fungi; Basidiomycota; Agaricomycetes; Agaricales; Cortinariaceae.